Dasypus novemcinctus (nine-banded armadillo) is the source of this 90-nucleotide microRNA precursor. NCBI's taxonomy places the organism in Eukaryota, Metazoa, Chordata, Mammalia, Cingulata, Dasypodidae. The record is from Ensembl.
GAAACCUUGCGCUCUUAAAGAGGUAAAAGGCACAGGCUUCACUGACAUUGACGCACUCUGCGCCUCUGAUCUCUCAAGAGAACAGGUUUU